ACUUGAUCUCAGUCGGCCCCCAUGCUCCAGGGUCUUUUCUUUCUGCAUGCUGAGGACUAUUUGUAACUGAUAACUUGUUUUAUAACUUUUGUGUCUGUCUUUCCCACUGACCUUUAAACUCUGUUGGGAAAGGAGACAUCUGCUUUGUUCACCACUUACGUUUAGUGUAUGUUUGGUACAUAGAGGAAACAAUUAAUAUUGAAGGAGAAAGAGAAAAAUAACUUAAAACAACUUCAUUUAUUAAACCCUGGCUAAGUGACUAGGCAUUCUACUAAACACUUGGCCUGUGUCAGCUCAUCUAAUCUUUCAAAGCACGCAAAGUCUUCCUGGGUGAGCGGUUUCAUUCUACUUCUGGAAUUUGUGAGUGACUUUAUGGUCCUGGUUUUGUAAUUAGUGUGAAAGAGAAAGUGGUCCAUUUCUAAAAUGAGAGGAAUACUCUGCAGAACAAGCUCACCAGGAAGAAAACAGAGGAAGAGAACCUGGAGGAAUAAGCUACUGGAGCUGUGAGCUAUCCUGGGGACCACAGAAUCCAUCCCCUCCCUUAUACUUUGAGGCAAAGACCCCCAAGAGCUACUGUGGCCUGACUGAGGUGUUUCAGCUACAUGACCACCUGCCAGAAAUGCUGUAGAAGAAAUGCUACAAAUUGGGUACCGUAGAAGACGGCAAAAACAGCUGCACUUAUUCUCUUCCUUUUUUACGGGGUCACAACAUCCUCACACAAGUCCAGCAGCACAACCAUGCAGCUGGAUUCGUGUUUUCACCAGCAAAGAACUGACGGUUUUUGAAAUUAGUGAGGAGGGGCUUGAUUUGUUCCGUAGCCCCUGCCAUGAAAGGCUUUACUCUUCUGGUCUCUAUACUUCAGGUUUCCGUCAUCUUUAAUGUACUUCUUGUAAGCUCCUUUUGUGAAGCUUGUUUCCUGCAAGUGAUGCUUCAUGACAGUAUGGACACCAGUGAUUACUGUGCUUUAGGUACCUUCGCCCCCUUCAGUGGAGCCAUUUCCAUCAAUGAGCCGAGCCAUCAGUGUUACCCUCUGUGCUACGACCAGCUUCCCCUCCACUUCCAGAC
Bos taurus (domestic cattle) is the source of this 1065-nucleotide long non-coding RNA. NCBI's taxonomy places the organism in Eukaryota, Metazoa, Chordata, Mammalia, Artiodactyla, Bovidae. The record is from Ensembl.